GACGAACGCUGGCGGCGUGCCUAAUACAUGCAAGUUGAGCGAUGAAGCUUGGUGCUUGCACCAAUUUGAAGAGCAGCGAACGGGUGAGUAACGCGUGGGGAAUCUGCCUCUGAGCGGGGGACAACAUCUGGAAACGAAUGCUAAUACCGCAUAACAACUUUAAACAUAAGUUUUAAGUUUGAAAGAUGCAAUUGCAUCACUCAAAGAUGAUCCCGCGUUGUAUUAGCUAGUUGGUGAGGUAAAGGCUCACCAAGGCGAUGAUACAUAGCCGACCUGAGAGGGUGGUCGGCCACAUUGGGAAUGGGGCACGGCCCAAGCUCCUACGGGGAGCAGCAAUAGGGGAUCUUUGGCAAAGGACGGAAGGCUGACCGAACAACGCCGCGUGAGUGGAGGAGGUUUUCGGGUCGUAAAACUCUGUUUGUAGAGAAGAAAGUUGGUGAGAGUGGAAAGCUCAUCAAGUGACGGUAACUACACAGAAAGGGACGGCUAACUACGUG
Molecule: ribosomal RNA, 497 nt
Filed under: uncultured bacterium
Lineage: Bacteria
Description: partial 16S ribosomal RNA
Rfam family: Bacterial small subunit ribosomal RNA
Source: RNAcentral